This 936-nucleotide ribosomal RNA is filed under the name Clavinema parasiluri. Its description in RNAcentral is "16S ribosomal RNA". Lineage: Eukaryota; Metazoa; Nematoda; Chromadorea; Rhabditida; Philometridae. The record is from RNAcentral.
AAUUUUUUUGUUUUAGGAGUAUUGGUUAUUGUAUAACGUUUUAAGAUAAUUUAUCAUUGAAUAUGAAAAAUAGAAUACCAAGGUAAAAGAUUUUUUUGAUUUGUUGUUACAAAUUUAUUUUGAAGGGAUCUUGGUGUUGAUAUAUCGUCUUGGUGGUUAACUUUUUGUGAGGGUGAGUAUUAGAAAGUUAUGCUGUAAGUUUGAUAGCUUAGUGUUAGAAAGAAUUAGUAUUUUGGAUUAAUGUCAAAUUUUGUGUUUGUUUUAUAAUGUGUAGAUUACAAGAUUUUGUAGUUUUUAGAGUUUGAAAUUUAGUAGAUAUGUUAAAUUUAGUUUGAUUAAUUUGAAUAUUUGUGGAGAAUUAGUAGUUAUGUUAAAUGUUUAUUAAAGACUGAUGUUUUAUUUUAGAACUUUUCCCUGCUCAAUGUGUUUUUAUAAAUGGCUGUCUUAGCGUGAGGACUUUAAGGUAGCGAGGUUAAUUGUGCUUUUAAUGGGUUCUAGUAUGAAUGGGGGUUUAAUGUAUUAUUUUCUUUAAUUGAUUUGAAUUAUGGUGGCUAUUAAAAAUUAUAGCUUUUAAUUAGACAAAGAUAAGUCUUCGGAAAUUAGGUAGCUAAUUUUAAUUGUUGUAAUUUGGUUGUUUAUUUAGGGUAAAAUGAACUAGGUAGUGUUAAAAAACUAUGGUUAAUAAUUAUAAUUACUUCGGAGUUAACAGAAAUACUUACUAUAAAAAGAUCUUAUUUUUUAGUAAGUUUUACAUCGAUGUUGUAUCUUGGUUGUAGUGAGGGUAGGACUUUAUUAUUUUGAGACUGUUCUUCUUUAAAAUCAAACGUGAUAUUAGUUUAAUUCAUCGUGAGAUAGAGUGGUUUAUCUUGUUAAUUAAGGUGUUGUUUUUUUUUGUAGUACGAAAGGAAACAGAAUGUGGCUUUAAGUUUGUGCAAA